Long non-coding RNA from Oxyura jamaicensis (ruddy duck), 368 nucleotides. RefSeq lists it as uncharacterized. NCBI's taxonomy places the organism in Eukaryota, Metazoa, Chordata, Aves, Anseriformes, Anatidae. The record is from RefSeq and is a predicted model, not a curated record. The transcript is spliced from 2 exons.
AUCUCUCUAUUGUCACUGAUAGGCUUGGGACCAGGCCACUAGCCCUGAGUGCUUAGGAUAGAGACAUUUAAGGCACAAGUGAUGAAAGACCUGAUGUUGAGCAGAAAUCCAUCAACGCCUCCAAGAAACAAGGCCGAGGGCCUUUAAGUACCAAAUCAGGGACAGAUUUUGAAAGGCCACUAAACAUGAGGAGGGAUCUGUGGGAGUUGGCAUGGAAGGGAUAGUACUUCUAGCUUUUGAAGAGCUACUUCCCCCAAAACAUCCUACCAGCCAAUCCCAGCCCAGCCAGUGCCUGUGUCUGGGAGACAGGUUAGUUACUUCCACAUUUUCCUGGAAAGAUUUUGCCUGGCACACUCUUGUCUCAGGAG